Molecule: ribosomal RNA, 1317 nt
Filed under: Shigella sonnei
Lineage: Bacteria; Pseudomonadati; Pseudomonadota; Gammaproteobacteria; Enterobacterales; Enterobacteriaceae
Description: partial 23S ribosomal RNA
Rfam family: Bacterial large subunit ribosomal RNA
Source: RNAcentral
UCCUGACUGACCGAUAGUGAACCAGUACCGUGAGGGAAAGGCGAAAAGAACCCCGGCGAGGGGAGUGAAAAAGAACCUGAAACCGUGUACGUACAAGCAGUGGGAGCACGCUUAGGCGUGUGACUGCGUACCUUUUGUAUAAUGGGUCAGCGACUUAUAUUCUGUAGCAAGGUUAACCGAAUAGGGGAGCCGAAGGGAAACCGAGUCUUAACUGGGCGUUAAGUUGCAGGGUAUAGACCCGAAACCCGGUGAUCUAGCCAUGGGCAGGUUGAAGGUUGGGUAACACUAACUGGAGGACCGAACCGACUAAUGUUGAAAAAUUAGCGGAUGACUUGUGGCUGGGGGUGAAAGGCCAAUCAAACCGGGAGAUAGCUGGUUCUCCCCGAAAGCUAUUUAGGUAGCGCCUCGUGAAUUCAUCUCCGGGGGUAGAGCACUGUUUCGGCAAGGGGGUCAUCCCGACUUACCAACCCGAUGCAAACUGCGAAUACCGGAGAAUGUUAUCACGGGAGACACACGGCGGGUGCUAACGUCCGUCGUGAAGAGGGAAACAACCCAGACCGCCAGCUAAGGUCCCAAAGUCAUGGUUAAGUGGGAAACGAUGUGGGAAGGCCCAGACAGCCAGGAUGUUGGCUUAGAAGCAGCCAUCAUUUAAAGAAAGCGUAAUAGCUCACUGGUCGAGUCGGCCUGCGCGGAAGAUGUAACGGGGCUAAACCAUGCACCGAAGCUGCGGCAGCGACGCUUAUGCGUUGUUGGGUAGGGGAGCGUUCUGUAAGCCUGCGAAGGUGUGCUGUGAGGCAUGCUGGAGGUAUCAGAAGUGCGAAUGCUGACAUAAGUAACGAUAAAGCGGGUGAAAAGCCCGCUCGCCGGAAGACCAAGGGUUCCUGUCCAACGUUAAUCGGGGCAGGGUGAGUCGACCCCUAAGGCGAGGCCGAAAGGCGUAGUCGAUGGGAAACAGGUUAAUAUUCCUGUACUUGGUGUUACUGCGAAGGGGGGACGGAGAAGGCUAUGUUGGCCGGGCGACGGUUGUCCCGGUUUAAGCGUGUAGGCUGGUUUUCCAGGCAAAUCCGGAAAAUCAAGGCUGAGGCGUGAUGACGAGGCACUACGGUGCUGAAGCAACAAAUGCCCUGCUUCCAGGAAAAGCCUCUAAGCAUCAGGUAACAUCAAAUCGUACCCCAAACCGACACAGGUGGUCAGGUAGAGAAUACCAAGGCGCUUGAGAGAACUCGGGUGAAGGAACUAGGCAAAAUGGUGCCGUAACUUCGGGAGAAGGCACGCUGAUAUGUAGGUGAAGUCCCUUGCGGAUGGAGCUGAAAUCAG